AUUGCUGAAAAAACAGAGAGAGGAAAGGAUCUUGAAAGAGUCGAUAUCCCAUCUGCAUAAGCCAAAGAGCAAGCCUCAAGAAAGCAAGGUAAAGGUACCAGAAUCCAACCUUGAGGACCAAGAAAGCGUAAAGGCAUUAGCUUGAGCAUUUUGAUCAACAUGAAUAACUCGGAGAGAAAGGUGUUUGGUCCUCCAGAAGUUCUGUCCUGAUCUGCUUUGGACUUCUCAGAGAUUCUCUGGGAUUCUUUGUCCUGGCUCUCGCUAGAGAGUACCAUGAAGCAAGAAUGAGUGGAUUGUCUCAUUUAGCUCAUACAUUUCUUGGUCUGUCAUACCAAAUAAGGUAUGGUAAGAAAUGUUAGAUGCAGUAAACUGGUUGCGAAAUGCUG
Molecule: long non-coding RNA, 386 nt
Organism: Varanus komodoensis (Komodo dragon)
Lineage: Eukaryota; Metazoa; Chordata; Lepidosauria; Squamata; Varanidae
Exons: 3
Source: RefSeq, a predicted model, not a curated record